CGGCUGUAGCAGUAGAGUGUGAUCCUGGCUCAGGAUAUGUCGUAAGAUGGUACCCAUAUAGUUGAGUUGCGGAGGGGUGAUUAACUCGUGUGUAACCUGCCCCCUAGGACUGGGAUAACUCCGGGAAACCGUGGGCUAAUACGGGAAUAACUUUUUGAACCGCAUGGUUCGAAAUUUAAAGGCGGCUUUUGCUGUCACUUAUGGAUGGACCCGCGUCGCAUUAUCUCUUUGGUGAGGUAACGGCUCACCACGGCAACGAUGCGUAGCCGACCUGAGAGGGUGAUCAGGCCACCCUGGGACUGAGACGCGGCCCGGACUCCUACGGGAGGCAGCAGUAGGGAAUCUUCUGACAAUGGUCUAAAGUUUGACGGAGCAAUUCUCUCCGCGGUGAGUGAUGAAGGCUUUACGGGUCGUAACAACUCUGUUGUUAGGGACUUGAACCAGUGCUAGUUGAAUCAGCUGGCACCUUGACGGUACCUAACCAGAUUAGGGGGGGGGCAUAACUACCGUGCCCGCAGCCGCGGUUCUGCGUAGGUGGCAAGCGUUAUCCGGAAUUAAUCUGGGCUUUAAGCGCGCGCAGGUGGUUUCUUAAGUCUGUAUUUGAAACUCCCACGGCUCCACCGUGGAGUGUCCUUGUAUAUCUGGGAGAACUUGAGUGUCAGAAGAGGAAAGUGGAAUUCCAUGUGUAGCGGUGAAAUGCGUAGAGAUAUGGAGGAACACCAGUGGCGAAAGCGACUUUCUGGUCUGUAACUGACACUGAGGCGCGAAAGCGUGGGGAGCAAACAGGAUUAGAUACCCUGGUAGUCCACGCCGUAAACGAUGAGUGCUAAGUGUUAGAGGGUUUCCGCCCUUUAGUGCUGAAGUUAACGCAUUAAGCACUCCGCCUGGGGAGUACGGCGGCAGGCUGAAAUUCAAAGGAAUGACGGGGGCCGGCCCAAGCGGUGAAGCAUGGGGUUUAUUUGGAACCACCGCGAAGACCCUUACCAGUUUUACCAUCUUCUGCCACCCUUGGGGAUAGGGUUUUUCCUUCGGAACCAGAGUGCCAGGUGGGCCAUGGUGGUCUUCAGCUCGGUUCUUGAGAGUUGGGUUUAAUUCCCGCAACAAGGCCAACCUUUGUUCUUAGUGCCCUCCAUUAAGUGGGCCAUUCUAAGGUGAUGCCCGGUGCCAACCCGGAGGAAGGGGGGGAGGACGUCAAUUCUUCAUCCCCCUUUUGCCUUGGGUAACACACGUGUUCCAAUGGACGGUCCAAAAAGCUCCAAGACCGGGAGGGGGAGUUAUUUUCAUAAAACCUUUUCCAUUUCGGAUUUUAGGUUCCAAUUGCCUUCCAGGAAGCGGGAUUCGUUGGUAAUCGCGGUUUACCAGGCCCAAGGUGUCCGUUUAGUUUCUUCAGGGUCUCGGUAUAUGGUAACACAGUAGCUGUAUAGUUUGAUCCUGGGUCGGGAUAAGUCGUAACAAGGUAGCCGUAGAGUCCUUU
RNAcentral lists this ribosomal RNA (1474 nucleotides) under Bacillus cereus. Its description in RNAcentral is "partial 16S ribosomal RNA". It matches the Rfam family "Bacterial small subunit ribosomal RNA". Lineage: Bacteria; Bacillati; Bacillota; Bacilli; Caryophanales; Bacillaceae. The record is from RNAcentral.